GAUGAACGCUGGCGGCGUGCCUAAUACAUGCAAGUCGAGCGAACGGACGAGAAGCUUGCUUUUCUGAUGUUAGCGGCGGACGGGUGAGUAACACGUGGAUAACCUACCUAUAAGACUGGGAUAACUUCGGGAAACCGGAGCUAAUACCGGAUAAUAUUUUGAACCGCAUGGUUCAAAAGUGAAAGACGGUCUUGCUGUCACUUAUAGAUGGAUCCGCGCUGCAUUAGCUAGUUGGUAAGGUAACGGCUUACCAAGGCAACGAUGCAUAGCCGACCUGAGAGGGUGAUCGGCCACACUGGAACUGAGACACGGUCCAGACUCCUACGGGAGGCAGCAGUAGGGAAUCUUCCGCAAUGGGCGAAAGCCUGACGGAGCAACGCCGCGUGAGUGAUGAAGGUCUUCGGAUCGUAAAACGCUGUUAUUAGGGAAGAACAUAUGUGUAAGUAACUGUGCACAUCUUGACGGUACCUAAUCAGAAAGCCACGGCUAAUUACGG
RNAcentral lists this ribosomal RNA (496 nucleotides) under uncultured bacterium. Its description in RNAcentral is "partial 16S ribosomal RNA". It matches the Rfam family "Bacterial small subunit ribosomal RNA", at positions 28 to 506 of the family's 1533-position model. The record is from RNAcentral.